This 201-nucleotide unclassified non-coding RNA is filed under the name Hevea brasiliensis (rubber tree). The record is from RNAcentral. Lineage: Eukaryota; Viridiplantae; Streptophyta; Magnoliopsida; Malpighiales; Euphorbiaceae.
AAAGGCCUUGCUUGAGCUUGAUAUCAACCCAAUUAUGAAAUCAUAAUAAUAAUAAUUCUAAUAAAAAUCCUAUAACUGGGUAUCAAUUUCUUCUAGCAUGUAGUGUUUAAUGCGAAUGAGCUUGAAUUUUGCCGUUCCAGCUCUGGGUUUGUGCCCAAAUCAUUUGACAGCCUUUCACACAACUGUCUAUAAGCUGAUGAA